UCUUAGUGGCGGACGGGUGAGUAACGCGUGGGCAACCUGCCCUGUACCGGGGGAUAACACUUAGAAAUAGGUGCUAAUACCGCAUAAUAGGGAAUACCGCAUGGUAAUCCUUUGAAAACUCCGGUGGUACAGGAUGGGCCCGCGUCUGACUUAGCCAGUUGGCGGGGUAACGGCCCACCAAAGCGACGAUCAGCAGCCGGCCUGAGAGGGUGGACGGCCACACUGGGACUGAGACACGGCCCAGACUCCUACGGGAGGCAGCAG
RNAcentral lists this ribosomal RNA (264 nucleotides) under uncultured bacterium. RNAcentral describes it as "partial 16S ribosomal RNA". It matches the Rfam family "Bacterial small subunit ribosomal RNA", at positions 90 to 354 of the family's 1533-position model. The record is from RNAcentral.